AUGAAGAUCACCGUAGCCCAUUUCAUUUGGACUCUAACAGCAGUUGCUUCCCUGCAAUUCUCUCACAGAUCUCUGUGCUCUACAGCUGAAGGACUUUGUGAAGCAGACACGGCAACUUCACAUUCGGUAUUUUUACAGUCACUCACCAUUAAUAUUUUUGUCCUCCAUAAACUCCUCCGUAUGCUUUUCAAACUCAGGUUGGGGCUCUGCGGUCAGUUGGAAGAGAACAGGGGAGAAAAGGGGGAGUCCUCUUCUGUCUUACGUCCAAAUGUUCUCUACUGUGAUUAAUAAAGCUUCUGUCUGACCCAUCUUAAAUUGUCCUUGCCUUAUCACACACUCGGGGCCCUUAUAUUCUCUGGCAGCGAUGAACAGCUCUUGAGAACUGGACCAGUCACUGUUAAUGGGAAGCAGAGAGGACAAGCUAUAGGUUUUCUGCAAGGAUCCAGGUCACACAAUUUAUAUGCCAGCAGAGUCUUGUAGGACCAGAUCACUCACUUGGGUAAACCAACAGAGUCGUACUGGUCUACACUUGGUGAGAACAGCAGGUGCUCCACCAUACUUACUAAUCAUUUGGACUCAAUUUUUGCCGUCGGACAGUUCCCAUGUGAAGCAGUUCCCAUAUGUAAAUCCCACAUGAUGCAGCAUAUGCAGCAGUUUAGGGCUAUACAUGCAUCAUGGGGGAAAACAAAAACAAACAGCUCAGAUGUCAGGGGAGGGAAGUUACACGGUCUCCACACGAGGAAAAAGUAAUACAGCGUGAUUCACAGUAGGAUCGAGGCAUGCAGUACUGUAAGAACACCGUAUACCAGGCUGUAUUAUGACUUCUCCAUAAACCUCUGCCACUGCCCACUGUCAAAAGGCAGGUUAGUAAGGA
Molecule: long non-coding RNA, 874 nt
Filed under: Anser cygnoides (Swan goose)
Lineage: Eukaryota; Metazoa; Chordata; Aves; Anseriformes; Anatidae
Description: lncRNA (ENSACDG00005003169.1)
Source: RNAcentral